AAUAGAUACCCGGGUAGUACACGCCGUAAACGAUGAGUGCUAAGUGUUAGGGGGUUUCCGCCCCUUAGUGCUGCAGCUAACGCAUUAAGCACUCCGCCUGGGGAGUACGGUCGCAAGACUGAAACUCAAAGGAAUUGACGGGGGCCCGCACAAGCGGUGGAGCAUGUGGUUUAAUUCGAAGCAACGCGAAGAACCUUACCAGGUCUUGACAUCCUCUGACAAUCCUAGAGAUAGGACGUCCCCUUCGGGGGCAGAGUGACAGGUGGUGCAUGGUUGUCGUCAGCUCGUGUCGUGAGAUGUUGGGUUAAGUCCCGCAACGAGCGCAACCCUUGAUCUUAGUUGCCAGCAUUCAGUUGGGCACUCUAAGGUGACUGCCGGUGACAAACCGGAGGAAGGUGGGGAUGACGUCAAAUCAUCAUGCCCCUUAUGACCUGGGCUACACACGUGCUACAAUGGACAGAACAAAGGGCAGCGAAACCGCGAGGUUAAGCCAAUCCCACAAAUCUGUUCUCAGUUCGGAUCGCAGU
This 527-nucleotide ribosomal RNA is filed under the name uncultured bacterium. RNAcentral's name for it is "bacterial SSU rRNA". It matches the Rfam family "Bacterial small subunit ribosomal RNA", at positions 777 to 1304 of the family's 1533-position model. The record is from RNAcentral.